RNAcentral lists this ribosomal RNA (301 nucleotides) under uncultured bacterium. RNAcentral describes it as "partial 16S ribosomal RNA". It matches the Rfam family "Bacterial small subunit ribosomal RNA", at positions 509 to 809 of the family's 1533-position model. The record is from RNAcentral.
CAGUAGCCGCGGUAAUACGAAGGGUGCAAGCGUUACUCGGAAUUACUGGGCGUAAAGCGUGCGUAGGUGGUGGUUUAAGUCCGUUGUGAAAGCCCUGGGCUCAACCUGGGAAUUGCAGUGGAUACUGGGUCACUAGAGUGUGGUAGAGGAUAGUGGAAUUUCCGGUGUAGCAGUGAAAUGCGUAGAGAUCGGAAGGAACAUCUGUGGCGAAGGCGACUAUCUGGGCCUGUACUGACGCUCAUGCACGAAAGCGUGGGGAGCAAACAGGAUUAGAUACCCGUGUAGUCCCUGUCUCUUAUAU